UUAUACAAUACAUAAAAAAUAGUUUCGACCUAUUUAAAAGGGAAACCCCUAUAUUGUU
This 58-nucleotide transfer RNA is filed under the name Syllis sp. JYC-2022. RNAcentral describes it as "tRNA-Arg". Lineage: Eukaryota; Metazoa; Annelida; Polychaeta; Phyllodocida; Syllidae. The record is from RNAcentral.